GACGUAGGGCGCGAGCGUUGUCCGGAUUGAUUGGGCGUAAAGAGCUCGUAGGCGGCUCGUUGCGUCGGCUGUGAAAACCCGCAGCUCAACUGUGGGCCUGCAGCUGAUACGGGCGGGCUGGAGUUCGGUAGGGGAGACUGGAAUUCCUGGUGUAGCGGUGAAAUGCGCAGAUAUCAGGAGGAACACCCGUAGCGAAGGCGGCACUCUGGGCCGAUACUGACACUGAGGAGCGAAAGCGUGGGGAGCGAACAGG
Molecule: ribosomal RNA, 253 nt
Filed under: uncultured bacterium
Lineage: Bacteria
Description: partial 16S ribosomal RNA
Rfam family: Bacterial small subunit ribosomal RNA
Source: RNAcentral